RNAcentral lists this small nuclear RNA (128 nucleotides) under Fukomys damarensis (Damara mole-rat). The record is from RNAcentral. Lineage: Eukaryota; Metazoa; Chordata; Mammalia; Rodentia; Bathyergidae.
GAGCUCACUUCAGCAGCACAUAUACUAAAACUGGAAUGAUACAGAGAAGAUCAGCAAUGCCUUACACAGAUUAGCAAUGCCCUUGCACAUGUAGCAGGCUUAAAUAUUAUAUGAUUUUUCUUAUUUUU